UAUGCGACACCUGCUCAAGUUUUCUAUCUUCGAUAUAAAACUUGCUCAGGUUGGUUGGAUAAAAUUGCCCUCAUUCAUAAUUUUUAUGCCCUAUUUUUUUCCCCUUGUUUCCUUUGCUAUGCUUGAUGGCGCACUUGAACAGGAUCUGUUUCGUACGACCAUAUCCUCGUCCGCUUAAUGGCCUAUAUGCUGAUUGCUGAACCAUCCUCCCAGGUUUAGAGAGCGAAUCAUCUGAGACGGGUGAAAAGCAUAACCCUCAAGCAUAUAGAACUAGAACAGGGAUCCAUGAACUGCUGCAGCACUCUAAAGAUCCAUCCUGGGGAGAAAUAAAUGAAAAUUUUGACAGGCAGAAGAGACUCGACUAAAAUUAUUUAUGAAGCAUGCUUGCUGGAUAGUUGAAUUAGCAGAUGGUCUCACUCCAUAGUGAAUAUAUUACACACCAAUGGCCCGCUGAAACUUUUGCCCUCAAUUCCAGCCAGCCACAAAGGAGCAACGAAUGCCGUGGGGCUUCUUCCAUUUCCUGCAGACGAAAACUUCCACUGCCGCGCGGCAGGAGGGGGAUUGGUUCAACCAGCAGCUGUCCCUGGAAACUUUUUAAGAGCCACAAAAUAAGUCCCAUCGCUCCAGACCCAGGAGAUCGGGACCGGCAAGUAAUCAUGUCAUGGCUAACACCAAUUAAUCUCACAGAUAAUUGGAAGAGCCGUCUCUAACAGCUGAGCCGGAGAAAAGCACUUCACAGAAUUUAAGUGUUCGCACUCCAGACCCCUAUGAUCAAGUGAUCAUGCACUAGCUGGUAAAAAUAAUAUGCAAGGCCAUUUUUGUUUCACUUAAAAAAUAAUAUGCAUCCUUCAUAACCAAUUCUAUCACACUUCAGACACCAAAUUAAUCACGCAGGCACCGGCCGGACCGCUUGCAACGACUUAAUGUGAUACCAGAACCCGACAACCACAAAAAAAUGGAUAUCAUCAGCAGUGAAUGCAGAGAUGCAAUUUUAUAGUUCAUUUCCACAUAGGUAUUGCCCUAUAUAUAGAGCGAGAGUUCACAUUCUACUAAA
Molecule: non-coding RNA, 1054 nt
Organism: Phoenix dactylifera (date palm)
Lineage: Eukaryota; Viridiplantae; Streptophyta; Magnoliopsida; Arecales; Arecaceae
Source: RefSeq, a predicted model, not a curated record